CCUUUUGUAGAUUAGAUAUAAAAUCAUUACCUUUUCGGUGUAAAGAAGCCUUACUAGUAAGGCCUGAAGUG
This 71-nucleotide transfer RNA is filed under the name Pseudachorutes palmiensis. RNAcentral's name for it is "tRNA-Glu". Lineage: Eukaryota; Metazoa; Arthropoda; Collembola; Poduromorpha; Neanuridae. The record is from RNAcentral.